CUUUAGAGCUAAAUAUUUAUCUUCCUAACCAAAAAAAGAAAAAGAAAAAAAAGAAGAGCUUUUCUAAAAAGUAAAGUGAACCCAAUUAUUUAUUUUAUGCAAUGUGCCAGCUGCAGCAAGAUUCCUAACAAAUACAAGCUCUUCAGGCUAUUCCCUUGUAUUGGACUCUUGAAGGAGGUCGUUCAUAAUAGCAAGGUAGGUUCAGCUCAGUAUUAUCACUUGAAGCUUUCGGUUUUAUAUACCUCUUGUGCUCGCCUUCGCAUGGUUUCUGUAACCUUACUUGCAUCACUUACUAUUUCUCAACUGUCCAUAUUUUAUCACUCAAUUUACUCCCUCAAUUGAUAUCUAUUUUUGAAUUUUGAAGGAUUAUAGUACAACUGAAAAUAAAUAGCAAAAUCGUAAUAUAUUAUGUAUAAAUAUACCGAACUUGGCUACAACGUUUUAUUUUGCCUUGUUAAGGAGAAGGACAUAGUUUAUUCUUGUGAAAUUUUAAUUUAUUUUUGUAGACUAGGUUACUUGCAGUUCACCCCUCAUCCAUUUUCUAUUAGUUCUGUUUUGACAGACGUUUGGUUAUGAAACCCUUUUACUUAUCAUCUUCAGUUUUCUAUAUAUUUUCAGGACCAACGAAACAACAUCGUGGUGCUCCAAAUAUUUCUUCUACUCUUAUAGUUAUGAAACCAGAUGAGAGCUUUGUGAAUCCUGACGAGAGCUUUGUGAAUCCUGACAGUUUUAUCCAAAGGUUUAGUUUCUUUGCAUUUGUUUUUUAUUUCAUUUUACUUUAUUUUUUUAAUUUUAUGUUAUGAGUUUUUUUUUUUUUCUUGAUCCAUCUUAUUUUAAAGCAAUUAUUAUAAUUUUUAUUGAUCGAUAUUAAAUUACUCUACUCUAUGGGGAGGGUGAUUCAAACUUAGAAGCAAGGGACCAAGAGUAGUGCCCUGUAACACCCCUAUUUUCCUUACAUUAAACGAAAAAGUUAAGAUAAAAAAAGGUAAACAAGUAAUUAAGAAUCAUUACAAAUUUUUAUACUAUUAUAUUCAAAAUUUGAACAUUUUGUAAAUAAUUUGGAAAGAGAAGUGCCACAAUAUCAAAAUUUAAUUGGUAUCUAUAAAACUACAUAUUUUUUUAUGUGAACGUCUAGACGUUAUUACCUUCAGAUGCCAUGUAUUUUUUACUAUCAUUCCUUACUUUCCUUCCUGUUUACAAUGAUGUCUACACUAUAAUAACGUGCCGACACUCCAAUGAGAAAAGAACUUUAUAUAUAUAUAUAUAUAUAUAUAUGUGUGUGUGUGUACUACUAUUUAAUGCUUAUGUUAUUCACUUAACAAAGUUCCGAUUAGACUCAGCUAGUUGGUAUUUGUAUUAUACCCGUUUAUAAAAAGGCCUUUAAGAGAAGCCUCUUUGUUAAUCACUUUUGAUAGAGUUUCAUACAAAAAGAUAAUAUAUGAGAUAAAAUAGUAAUCAACAACUGCUGGGGAAAAAUAAAAUAAAAUAAAAUAAAAUCCUUAUCUUCCACUUAUCUCUCGGCUUCACAUGCAUAUAAUAUGCGUGAAAUUUUUAAUAAUUACAAUUGCUCCAUACCAUUGUUCUGAGAAAUGUAACACUAGCCCAACUUCCCAAGGCCCAAAUUAUAUCAUGCGAGGAGUUUGUCCUCUAAAGUUAUCCAUGUUUAGUUUGUCUUUAUUUUACGUUCUAAUGGCAUUAUAUGCAUUUAUAUCAGCACUGGGAAGAGGCCUCCCGCAAAAGGUGAAGGAAAUUCAGCAAGUAAAAAAUGGCCAACAGCAAAGGAAAUUUUUGACCCACAGGGGCCUUUCCUUCCAUUAUGGAACAAGAUAUUUGUAAUUGCAUGUGUGAUUGCAGUCUCAUUGGAUCCUUUGUUCUUUUACAUCCCAAACAUCAAUGAGAAAUACAAGUGCCUUGGUAAGGACAAGAAGUUGAGGACUGCAGCUCUUCUUCUGCGAACGCUCAUGGACCUCACUUUCGUAAUCCAUAUGGUACAUCAGAUUCGUGUCACGGCAAAAAUCGUGGCCUCGGAGCAUGUGUCAAGAAGAGGAAAGUCAGAUUGGUUAUGCAGAAGAAGAGAGUUGGUUAAGGCAAUGCCCUGGUUUUCCAUCCUAAUUGACUUUCUUGCUGCUCUUCCAAUCCCACAAGUAAGAGAAAGACUAAAUUAUUUGAUAUAUAUAUAUAUAUAUAUAAAUUGAUUGAUUGAUUGUUGCUUAACACAAGAAGAAAUGAUCUUAGUCCAGUCCAUUGUAAUUAUUUCUGUCAUGCAGUUAGCAAUAGGAGUUGUCUUUUUCAGAAGGAAAAGCUCUCAGUAUUUUCGCAAAAGGAGGAUUAUGACCUUCCUUCUUCUCUUCCAAUAUUUGCCAAGGGUUUAUCGAAUAUACCUAACGUAUGAGGAACUUACAAGGAUCAAAAGAUGGGUUAGAGGUGCAUUCAAUUUUUUUCUAUACAUCCUCGCUAGUCAUGUAAGUUUCGUCUCCCUCAUCAUAACUCAAUUAUUUUAUGUUUUUUUGCCUUUGAUGGAGUUGGAUUAUUUUUCUCCAUUCAAUUUUCCCAUGUCAUUCACUAUUUUGCUUGUUUGAUUAGGUACUUGGAGGUUUUUGGUACUUCUUUUCGAUCCAACGAGAGACGUCAUGUUGGCAUCAUGCUUGUAAAAGAAGUACUGAAACUUUUUGUGUAGCUAAUUAUCACUUUCAUUGCGAUGAUUAUAGUCUGGGAGACGACAUUACCACUUCAAGUAAAGUCAAAUUCCUAAAUAAAUUGUGCCCAUUAGAUCCACCAAACUCCUCAAUAUUUGAUUUUGGAAUAUUUGUUGAUGCCCUUAAGUCGGGGUCAACACCUUUUAUGCAAAAGUUCUUUCACUCUUAUUGGUGGGGCCUGCGAAAUCUCAGGUUGGCAUUAUACAAAUCAAUCACAAUGAACAAAUUUUCAGUUAUUCCGCAGUGAUUUUAUUCAGUUUUGUUCAACAUAAAGAAACACCAACUAUGCUCAUUACAAGAUUUUUCUUUUUUAUAAAAGACAUUCUAGCCUUUCUAUACAGGCUAUGAGAAUUAGGGCUUUUCAUUCCGCAUGCAUUUUGAUUAAGAUGAAUAGUUGGAGCUUGAGAUAGGAGAAAUAUUUCCCACCCGUUGCAUUGCCUCAUUUUCUCUUCUAUUUUGAUAAGUUACAUGAGGAGAGAGAUACAAACGAGGUAAUGAAACGGAAAUGGAGAAAUUUUACUUGUGAAAUAGGGAGAAAUAGUAUAAAAUAAUAAGCGAAUAGCGAGUGCGUGAAAUAGGUUAUUUUGGUUUUACUAGUUUACCCUCAUAUAACAAAUAGUGCUCUCUUUUCUCAUUAUGUGCUGUAUAUAUAGCCAUUGAAUAGUGUCUGACACAUUUUUUUUGACUCUUUAAUUAAUUGUUCUCCUUGCAGUAACUUUGGGACGAAUUUAGAAACAAGUAGUUACGUGUGGGAAAACUGCUUUGCAAUUCUAAUUUCUGUUAUUGGCUUGCUACUCUUUUUGUAUCUCAUCGGAAAUGUACAGGUUGGGAAACAAUCUUCCUUCCUAGAUCUAUUAUUAAUUGUUUUAUUUAUUUAUUUUUCUUUAAUAAAUUAUAAUUUAAAGCCUAAGUCACAAAUUGUAAUAUAAGCUUGUUUGUGGUGGAACAGACAUAUAUACAGUUGGCAACUACAAAAUCAGAGAACAUAUGCCAGAAGAUGGCAAUGAAAGACCUAGAGAUCCAAUUGUGGAUGUCUAGAAAUGGUCUUCCAGAGGAUAUGAAGACGGUGAUUAUGAAAAAUGUCAAACAAAGACUGGAACAAGACAAAGAUGCUGAUGUAGAGAAUAUGUUCUCUAUUCUCUCACAGAAUAAUAGGAAAUCUAUAAAGCGUUAUCUCUGCAUGGACACGUUGAAGAAAGUACGUAAUAUGUUCCAAUACUCACCUCUCUAUCUGGCUAUAUAAUUUUAUUUUGCAAAGUAUAUCUUAUCCAUGUAAUAGAUUUAUAGGUGAAUAUUUAUCGAUACUAUUACCUUAAAACUGAGAAAUAUUAGUAUUGUCUGCUUAUUAUUUAACAUAUGAACGAUUUAUAUCACGUGUACAAUUUCUCCUACCUCAGAAUUAAAUAUUUCUUAUUGAAUUAAUAUGUACUCUAUGUAUAGGUACCAAUGCUUCAAAGUACUGAUGAAAGGGUGUUGAAAGUGAUAUGCAACUAUUUAAAGCCAGUGAUCUACUCGGAGAAUAGCUACGUGAUUCGAGCAGGAGAACCACUUGACUUGAUGCUCUUCAUCACACAAGGAAUUAUAUGGACCUUUGCAGGUACUCACAUUGAUGGUUCUGGAAAAUUAAAUGGUUCCUCUUCAUCAUCAACAUCAUCAAUCACAAGGUGUCUUGAGAAAGGCGAUUUUUACGGGGAAGAACUUCUUAGCCGAAUUUCGACAUACAUCUCCUUUUCGGACCUUCCUAUCUGCACUGACAAUGUGAAAUGUCAUACAAAAGUAGAAGCGUUUGCUCUACUAGCCAAGGACUUGAAGACGGUAGUGACUGAAUUUUGGUGGUAUUUUCCCACUUUGAACAAUUCGGAGUUGGAGGAGAAGUUGGCACUUUCUUCCGUUCGAGCAGUCCGUCGACGCAAUCGAGAAAAGAAGGCUACAAGGUCUUCCAAGUUGGCUGCUGAUCAUCGAGAGCAAAGGCUCGCAUAUCAACGACUACAUGCGUCCUGUUAAUUUAUCGCUACUAAGUAUAAAAUGUAUAAACAAAUAAAAUCCAAUAUUUCCCUCUUGCCUUUGUUUAACACCAUAUCUACCCACACUUGCUAUUGAUGUUAGACUUGUGUGAUUCCCUAAUACUACUUACAAUUGAAAGUUAUUGUAAGUUAUUGUAAUGGUGUGUUUACUAAUUAGGA
Molecule: long non-coding RNA, 4879 nt
Filed under: Prunus dulcis (almond)
Lineage: Eukaryota; Viridiplantae; Streptophyta; Magnoliopsida; Rosales; Rosaceae
Description: sRNA ncRNA
Source: RNAcentral